This 2370-nucleotide ribosomal RNA is filed under the name Escherichia coli. Its description in RNAcentral is "bacterial LSU rRNA". It matches the Rfam family "Bacterial large subunit ribosomal RNA", at positions 296 to 2661 of the family's 2925-position model. The record is from RNAcentral. Lineage: Bacteria; Pseudomonadati; Pseudomonadota; Gammaproteobacteria; Enterobacterales; Enterobacteriaceae.
AGCCCAGAGCCUGAAUCAGUGUGUGUGUUAGUGGAAGCGUCUGGAAAGGCGCGCGAUACAGGGUGACAGCCCCGUACACAAAAAUGCACAUGCUGUGAGCUCGAUGAGUAGGGCGGGACACGUGGUAUCCUGUCUGAAUAUGGGGGGACCAUCCUCCAAGGCUAAAUACUCCUGACUGACCGAUAGUGAACCAGUACCGUGAGGGAAAGGCGAAAAGAACCCCGGCGAGGGGAGUGAAAAAGAACCUGAAACCGUGUACGUACAAGCAGUGGGAGCACGCUUAGGCGUGUGACUGCGUACCUUUUGUAUAAUGGGUCAGCGACUUAUAUUCUGUAGCAAGGUUAACCGAAUAGGGGAGCCGAAGGGAAACCGAGUCUUAACUGGGCGUUAAGUUGCAGGGUAUAGACCCGAAACCCGGUGAUCUAGCCAUGGGCAGGUUGAAGGUUGGGUAACACUAACUGGAGGACCGAACCGACUAAUGUUGAAAAAUUAGCGGAUGACUUGUGGCUGGGGGUGAAAGGCCAAUCAAACCGGGAGAUAGCUGGUUCUCCCCGAAAGCUAUUUAGGUAGCGCCUCGUGAAUUCAUCUCCGGGGGUAGAGCACUGUUUCGGCAAGGGGGUCAUCCCGACUUACCAACCCGAUGCAAACUGCGAAUACCGGAGAAUGUUAUCACGGGAGACACACGGCGGGUGCUAACGUCCGUCGUGAAGAGGGAAACAACCCAGACCGCCAGCUAAGGUCCCAAAGUCAUGGUUAAGUGGGAAACGAUGUGGGAAGGCCCAGACAGCCAGGAUGUUGGCUUAGAAGCAGCCAUCAUUUAAAGAAAGCGUAAUAGCUCACUGGUCGAGUCGGCCUGCGCGGAAGAUGUAACGGGGCUAAACCAUGCACCGAAGCUGCGGCAGCGACACUGUGUGUUGUUGGGUAGGGGAGCGUUCUGUAAGCCUGCGAAGGUGUGCUGUGAGGCAUGCUGGAGGUAUCAGAAGUGCGAAUGCUGACAUAAGUAACGAUAAAGCGGGUGAAAAGCCCGCUCGCCGGAAGACCAAGGGUUCCUGUCCAACGUUAAUCGGGGCAGGGUGAGUCGACCCCUAAGGCGAGGCCGAAAGGCGUAGUCGAUGGGAAACAGGUUAAUAUUCCUGUACUUGGUGUUACUGCGAAGGGGGGACGGAGAAGGCUAUGUUGGCCGGGCGACGGUUGUCCCGGUUUAAGCGUGUAGGCUGGUUUUCCAGGCAAAUCCGGAAAAUCAAGGCUGAGGCGUGAUGACGAGGCACUACGGUGCUGAAGCAACAAAUGCCCUGCUUCCAGGAAAAGCCUCUAAGCAUCAGGUAACAUCAAAUCGUACCCCAAACCGACACAGGUGGUCAGGUAGAGAAUACCAAGGCGCUUGAGAGAACUCGGGUGAAGGAACUAGGCAAAAUGGUGCCGUAACUUCGGGAGAAGGCACGCUGAUACGUAGGUGAAGUCCCUCGCGGAUGGAGCUGAAAUCAGUCGAAGAUACCAGCUGGCUGCAACUGUUUAUUAAAAACACAGCACUGUGCAAACACGAAAGUGGACGUAUACGGUGUGACGCCUGCCCGGUGCCGGAAGGUUAAUUGAUGGGGUCAGCGCAAGCGAAGCUCUUGAUCGAAGCCCCGGUAAACGGCGGCCGUAACUAUAACGGUCCUAAGGUAGCGAAAUUCCUUGUCGGGUAAGUUCCGACCUGCACGAAUGGCGUAAUGAUGGCCAGGCUGUCUCCACCCGAGACUCAGUGAAAUUGAACUCGCUGUGAAGAUGCAGUGUACCCGCGGCAAGACGGAAAGACCCCGUGAACCUUUACUAUAGCUUGACACUGAACAUUGAGCCUUGAUGUGUAGGAUAGGUGGGAGGCUUUGAAGUGUGGACGCCAGUCUGCAUGGAGCCGACCUUGAAAUACCACCCUUUAAUGUUUGAUGUUCUAACGUUGACCCGUAAUCCGGGUUGCGGACAGUGUCUGGUGGGUAGUUUGACUGGGGCGGUCUCCUCCUAAAGAGUAACGGAGGAGCACGAAGGUUGGCUAAUCCUGGUCGGACAUCAGGAGGUUAGUGCAAUGGCAUAAGCCAGCUUGACUGCGAGCGUGACGGCGCGAGCAGGUGCGAAAGCAGGUCAUAGUGAUCCGGUGGUUCUGAAUGGAAGGGCCAUCGCUCAACGGAUAAAAGGUACUCCGGGGAUAACAGGCUGAUACCGCCCAAGAGUUCAUAUCGACGGCGGUGUUUGGCACCUCGAUGUCGGCUCAUCACAUCCUGGGGCUGAAGUAGGUCCCAAGGGUAUGGCUGUUCGCCAUUUAAAGUGGUACGCGAGCUGGGUUUAGAACGUCGUGAGACAGUUCGGUCCCUAUCUGCCGUGGGCGCUGGAGAA